RNAcentral lists this ribosomal RNA (253 nucleotides) under uncultured bacterium. Its description in RNAcentral is "partial 16S ribosomal RNA". It matches the Rfam family "Bacterial small subunit ribosomal RNA", at positions 524 to 776 of the family's 1533-position model. The record is from RNAcentral.
UACGAAGGGGGCUAGCGUUGUUCGGAAUUACUGGGCGUAAAGCGUGCGCAGGCGGCUUUGCAAGACAGAUGUGAAAUCCCCGGGCUUAACCUGGGAACUGCAUUUGUGACUGCAUGGCUAGAGUGCGGCAGAGGGGGAUGGAAUUCCGCGUGUAGCAGUGAAAUGCGUAGAUAUGCGGAGGAACACCGAUGGCGAAGGCAAUCCCCUGGGCCUGCACUGACGCUCAUGCACGAAAGCGUGGGGAGCAAACAGG